This is a non-coding RNA of Danio rerio (zebrafish), 178 nucleotides long. The record is from RefSeq and is a predicted model, not a curated record. NCBI's taxonomy places the organism in Eukaryota, Metazoa, Chordata, Actinopteri, Cypriniformes, Danionidae.
GUGUAACCCUCGGUAGACAAAUGUAUUAUAAGAUUUAAUCAAUGGACCAGAUGCUCAGAAGUCUAAAUUCCUCCAAAGAGAGAGAAGAUACAACAACAGUGAAGGACUCGGACACAGAGGCUAUAUCACUAAUAAGGUGUAUCCAAAGAAUCCACUCAAUGGGAGGCUCGCCAGUCCA